This 253-nucleotide ribosomal RNA is filed under the name uncultured bacterium. RNAcentral's name for it is "partial 16S ribosomal RNA". It matches the Rfam family "Bacterial small subunit ribosomal RNA", at positions 524 to 776 of the family's 1533-position model. The record is from RNAcentral.
UACGAAGGGGACUAGCGUUGUUCGGAAUUACUGGGCGUAAAGCGCACGUAGGCGGAUUUGUUAGUCAGGGGUGAAAUCCCGGGGCUCAACCUCGGAACUGCCUUUGAUACUGCAAGUCUCGAGUCCGAUAGAGGUGGGUGGAAUUCCUAGUGUAGAGGUGAAAUUCGUAGAUAUUAGGAAGAACACCGGUGGCGAAGGCGGCCCACUGGAUCGGUACUGACGCUGAUGCGCGAAAGCGUGGGGAGCAAACGGG